GGUCGGUCCGGUUACAUGCCGGGAAGACCGCCAGGGAAACACACGUAUUUGGAACCGUGGUACAUUAACUGGC
RNAcentral lists this ribozyme (73 nucleotides) under unclassified sequences. RNAcentral describes it as "Hairpin ribozyme 1 from viruses-like metatranscriptomes". It matches the Rfam family "Hairpin ribozyme 1 from viruses-like metatranscriptomes". The record is from Rfam by way of RNAcentral.